GUGCUUGCUUCAACAGCACAUCUACUAGAAUUGGAAUGAUACAGAGAAGAUUACCAUGGUCCUUGCACAAGGAUGGCAUGAAAGUCUACGAAGCAUUCCAUAUCUUU
Small nuclear RNA from Monodelphis domestica (gray short-tailed opossum), 107 nucleotides. NCBI's taxonomy places the organism in Eukaryota, Metazoa, Chordata, Mammalia, Didelphimorphia, Didelphidae. The record is from Ensembl.